RNAcentral lists this ribosomal RNA (1120 nucleotides) under Klebsiella pneumoniae. RNAcentral's name for it is "bacterial SSU rRNA". It matches the Rfam family "Bacterial small subunit ribosomal RNA", at positions 1 to 1112 of the family's 1533-position model. Lineage: Bacteria; Pseudomonadati; Pseudomonadota; Gammaproteobacteria; Enterobacterales; Enterobacteriaceae. The record is from RNAcentral.
AAAUUGAAGAGUUUGAUCAUGGCUCAGAUUGAACGCUGGCGGCAGGCCUAACACAUGCAAGUCGAGCGGUAGCACAGAGAGCUUGCUCUCGGGUGACGAGCGGCGGACGGGUGAGUAAUGUCUGGGAAACUGCCUGAUGGAGGGGGAUAACUACUGGAAACGGUAGCUAAUACCGCAUAAUGUCGCAAGACCAAAGUGGGGGACCUUCGGGCCUCAUGCCAUCAGAUGUGCCCAGAUGGGAUUAGCUAGUAGGUGGGGUAACGGCUCACCUAGGCGACGAUCCCUAGCUGGUCUGAGAGGAUGACCAGCCACACUGGAACUGAGACACGGUCCAGACUCCUACGGGAGGCAGCAGUGGGGAAUAUUGCACAAUGGGCGCAAGCCUGAUGCAGCCAUGCCGCGUGUGUGAAGAAGGCCUUCGGGUUGUAAAGCACUUUCAGCGGGGAGGAAGGCGUUAAGGUUAAUAACCUUGGCGAUUGACGUUACCCGCAGAAGAAGCACCGGCUAACUCCGUGCCAGCAGCCGCGGUAAUACGGAGGGUGCAAGCGUUAAUCGGAAUUACUGGGCGUAAAGCGCACGCAGGCGGUCUGUCAAGUCGGAUGUGAAAUCCCCGGGCUCAACCUGGGAACUGCAUUCGAAACUGGCAGGCUAGAGUCUUGUAGAGGGGGGUAGAAUUCCAGGUGUAGCGGUGAAAUGCGUAGAGAUCUGGAGGAAUACCGGUGGCGAAGGCGGCCCCCUGGACAAAGACUGACGCUCAGGUGCGAAAGCGUGGGGAGCAAACAGGAUUAGAUACCCUGGUAGUCCACGCCGUAAACGAUGUCGAUUUGGAGGUUGUGCCCUUGAGGCGUGGCUUCCGGAGCUAACGCGUUAAAUCGACCGCCUGGGGAGUACGGCCGCAAGGUUAAAACUCAAAUGAAUUGACGGGGGCCCGCACAAGCGGUGGAGCAUGUGGUUUAAUUCGAUGCAACGCGAAGAACCUUACCUGGUCUUGACAUCCACAGAACUUUCCAGAGAUGGAUUGGUGCCUUCGGGAACUGUGAGACAGGUGCUGCAUGGCUGUCGUCAGCUCGUGUUGUGAAAUGUUGGGUUAAGUCCCGCAACGAGCGCAACCCUUAUCCUU